RNAcentral lists this ribosomal RNA (245 nucleotides) under uncultured bacterium. Its description in RNAcentral is "partial 16S ribosomal RNA". It matches the Rfam family "Bacterial small subunit ribosomal RNA", at positions 28 to 269 of the family's 1533-position model. The record is from RNAcentral.
GACGAACGCUGGCGGCGUGCUUAACACAUGCAAGUCGUACGACAGCAUCUCUUCGGGGGUGUAUGGAGUGGCGAACGGGUGAGUAACACGUAAGUAACCUGCCCUUUUCUUUGGGAUAACUCGCGGGAACGUGGGCUAAUACCGAAUAUUCACAUAUGUCUGCAUGGGGUNUGUGUGGAAAGGCUUUUAGCCGGUAAGGGAUGGGCUUGCGGCCUAUCAGUUUGUUGGUGGGGUGAUGGCCUACC